This 253-nucleotide ribosomal RNA is filed under the name uncultured bacterium. Its description in RNAcentral is "partial 16S ribosomal RNA". It matches the Rfam family "Bacterial small subunit ribosomal RNA", at positions 524 to 776 of the family's 1533-position model. The record is from RNAcentral.
UACGUAGGGUCCGAGCGUUGUCCGGAAUUACUGGGCGUAAAGCGUGCGCAGGCGGCUUUCCAAGCGCCACGUGAAAGCCCCGGGCCCAACCCGGGAGGGUCGUGGCGAACUGGGAGGCUUGAGGCCGGUAGAGGUGGGUGGAACUCCUGGUGGAGUGGUGAAAUGCGUAGAGAUCCGGAGGAACACCAAAGGCGAAGGCAGUGUCCUGGGGAGUACCUGACGCUCAGGUGCGAAAGCCAGGGGAGCGAACGGG